GACGAACGCUGGCGGCGUGCUUAACACAUGCAAGUCGAACGGUAAGGCCCGGCUUUUGUUGGGUGCUCGAUUGGCGAACGGGUGGGUAACACGUGAGUAACCUGCCCUUCACUUUGGGAUAACUGCUGGUACCUGGGGAUAUCACCGAAUAGGAGCUCUUGCUGCCUGGGGGGGGUCGGAAAGUUUCGGCGGUUGGGGAUGGGCUGGGGGCUUAUCAGCUCGUUGGUGGGGUAGUGGCUUACCAUGGCUUUGAGGGGUAGCGGGGCUGAGAGGGGGGCCGGCGAAAUUGGAACGGGACUGCGGCCCAGACUCCUAUGGGAGGGAGGAGUGGGGAAGAUUGCACAAGAGGCGGAAGGCUGAUGUAGCAACGCCGCGUGCGGGAUGACGUCAAUCGGGUUGGAAACCGCUUUCGCUUGAGACGAAGCGUGAGUGACGGUAAUGGGUAAAGAAGCACCGGCUAACUACGUG
Molecule: ribosomal RNA, 468 nt
Filed under: uncultured bacterium
Lineage: Bacteria
Description: partial 16S ribosomal RNA
Rfam family: Bacterial small subunit ribosomal RNA
Source: RNAcentral